UACGGGGGGAGCAAGCGUUGUUCGGAUUUACUGGGCGUAAAGGGCGCGUAGGCGGCCACCGCAAGUCGACUGUGAAAUCUCCGGGCUUAACCCGGAAAGGUCAGCCGAUACUGCGGGGCUAGAGUGCAGAAGGGGCAACUGGAAUUCUCGGUGUAGCGGUGAAAUGCGUAGAUAUCGAGAGGAACACCUGCGGCGAAGGCGGGUUGCUGGGCUGACACUGACGUUGAGGCGCGAAAGCUAGGGGAGCAAACAGG
RNAcentral lists this ribosomal RNA (254 nucleotides) under uncultured bacterium. RNAcentral describes it as "partial 16S ribosomal RNA". It matches the Rfam family "Bacterial small subunit ribosomal RNA", at positions 524 to 776 of the family's 1533-position model. The record is from RNAcentral.